This is a non-coding RNA of Strongylocentrotus purpuratus (purple sea urchin), 74 nucleotides long. The record is from the annotation of a RefSeq genome assembly. Lineage: Eukaryota; Metazoa; Echinodermata; Echinoidea; Camarodonta; Strongylocentrotidae.
GCCUCCGUGGCCUAAUGGAUAAGGCAUCGGUUUUCUAAAACCGGGGAUUGUGGGUUCGAGUCCCACCGGAGGUA